Molecule: long non-coding RNA, 487 nt
Organism: Gambusia affinis (western mosquitofish)
Lineage: Eukaryota; Metazoa; Chordata; Actinopteri; Cyprinodontiformes; Poeciliidae
Exons: 4
Source: RefSeq, a predicted model, not a curated record
GAGACCAAAAUAGAGGCCUUUAUCUGAUGACUGAAGACUUGACCCUGGUGAAAAUGGACCACACACCCUUCUGCAUGACUGCCUACGUCAGACUUGUUCAGAGCCAGAAACUGAUCCACUGACGUCCAGAUCGGAAGACAACUAAUCCAAGGAUACAUUGAGCUGUGGCAGUCUGGGAGCUGGAAUCAAACCCACAACUUUCCAAUUACAGGACAGCCACUUUCGCCAUUGAUCCCAGAAGUCAAUAUAUGCCACCAGUCUGUGCAUGUGGGUGUGAGCCGUGUGUGUGCGUGUAGACCAAUCAGUGAAAGCUGUGGACAGCUCGGUGCACUAUGCUUGGGGGCAGCCAUCUGUCAGCUGACGCUUGGUCGACACAGCAAUCAGAACGCUCUGCAGCGGGUCCAAUCUGUUCCACCACAGGUAAAAACCCAAGCAAACCAGCAGGCAGCUUGACAAAGGCAAUGGCCUGGCAGAGAGCAAAAGAAGC